CCCUUAGAUGUUCUGGGCGGCCCGCGCACUACAUUGGCACUGGCAACAAGAUCCUAGAUCUGGUAUUUCGGGGUAUUCUACCAACUGGUGUCGUGACUGGGAUUAACCCCUGCAAUUAUUGGUUAUGAACGAGGAAUUCCUUGUAAUCACGGUUUAUCAACCCGUGUUGAAUGCGUCCCUGCCCUUUGUACACACCGCCCGUCGCUCCUACCGAUGAAUCGUCCGGUGAAAUCUCGGGACGGCGGCUUGGUCGCUUGCGUCCGACUGCUGAAACUUGAUUAAACCAUAUCAUUUAGAGGAAGGUGAAGUCGUAACA
RNAcentral lists this ribosomal RNA (316 nucleotides) under uncultured eukaryote. RNAcentral describes it as "partial 18S ribosomal RNA". It matches the Rfam family "Eukaryotic small subunit ribosomal RNA", at positions 1470 to 1796 of the family's 1831-position model. The record is from RNAcentral.